Chinchilla lanigera (long-tailed chinchilla) is the source of this 1644-nucleotide long non-coding RNA. RefSeq lists it as uncharacterized. The record is from RefSeq and is a predicted model, not a curated record. NCBI's taxonomy places the organism in Eukaryota, Metazoa, Chordata, Mammalia, Rodentia, Chinchillidae. The transcript is spliced from 4 exons.
UCAGCUCUCCCAGUGUGUCACUGCUCUCACCGCGCGCCCGUCAGCACCAUUCCCACCAGGCCCGUGCCAGCCCUCUGUGACCGCAGCUCGUCCAGAGUAAAUGCAGCUGGGCUGUGUGCGGGAUCCGCAGGGCAGCCAGCUCACCCCGCGAGUCCUCCGAGUUCCCUCCUCUCUGAGGCUCCCGCUGGAGUUUGCGAGUCAGUCCUAGGCCUCCGUGAUUUGGAGAUGCUGCUGUCUGUGCCUGAGGUGGCUCCGGGACGGCAGGAAGUUCUCAGCAAGCCCUUGGCAGCUGCUCGGCUCUCUGAGGAUCUUUAUGGCUGGUGCUUCCUGGACUGAGUUUACGUGUGCGCAAUGCCUGUUGGCAUUCCUGCCACUGUUACACAGGUUCAUGCCUGCCCCCUCCGUGCAGCCUUUCUGCCUGGCUCACCUGCCCAGGGUGAGGACCCCUAGGCUGCUGCUCUCCAGCUGGAGUCUGAGGACCCGCGCAAACAGAAGCACUCUGUGGGGUGAGUUCUCCCAAGGAAGCAGCGCAGCCAGGACAUUCUUCAGGGAGGUGUGCAGCUCACAGCCCACACCCAGUGCUCUGUUUCCAAACACCACUCCAAGUGGCUACUCACAAGUGGAAGCAGCUGAACGGGCAUCUGAGGGGACUGUCCAGGACGGCCUCAGGAGCAACAGCUGAGUCAGAAGACCACCAGCACGCCCAGAGGAAGAGGAACACAGCCUGUCUGCUCCGCAGCAACCCUGGCCUGCAGACUCAGCGCUCAGAAGGCAACUGAUGAUCUUUUGAUUACCGCCAUUGGAGUCCAUUUUGAUAAUCUUCAAAAGAAUCUUUGCUGUUUUCCUGGUCAACUCCAGGCUUUCAGAACUGCUAACAUGGGGUGUGCCCUGCUUACCGCGCUCCCUGACACCCCGGUCCUCCUGCCAUACCUGCCAUGCUGUGGUGCACCCUGUGGGAGGCUUUUCUCCUGACGUUAUCCGGUCCUACUCUCUAUGAAGGCUGUGAACUGCCUUCUGCACUCAUUCUUUUGGGUGAUUCAUUUAUUUCCUUCUGAGAAAUUCUGCAUUCAUUUGGCAUCAGCAAAAUAGCAGACACUUUGCAGCCAGCCACAUGAUGGAUAGUUCUGCAGCUAAUGACAUGUCUUCCUGAAGCGGGAGACAUAUUACGUUGUUGGGAGGCACGGUCUCCAGGGAAAUUGCCACUCUGCGGAGGGCAGUUAAUAAAUACGAGCACAGCGCUGCUUCUGCCAUGAAGUUAACACCCCUUUCAGCCACCUGCUGAUGAAUUCCCAUUGGGUGGACACCCCGGGAAGCACUGGAAAGGGAACUUUGCUUCAAUUGUUCCAGGAAGCCUGAUAAGAUUGCCAUUUCCUAUUGCACUGUCAUGACGAACUUACAGGGAUAGCAUCCCGGAUGCAGGUGUCCAGGUCAAAGGAAAUAAAAGGGAAGUUCAAAAGCACUCCGCCCACGGUUGCUGAUCUUCUAUCUUUAUUACCAUGUCACAGGAAGUUUCUGUAUGAGUAUGCUGGGAAUUAGGCAAAACCAAAAUUGCAUGUCAGGCAAAUGAAAGAGGCUAUAAAAAGAAAGGGAAAAAAAGUCCCUCCCAAAAGAACAGAAAGCACUUACUUUCUUUUUUCUUUUUUU